GACGGGGGGGGCAAGUGUUCUUCGGAAUUACUGGGCGUAAAGCGCACGUAGGCGGCUUUUUAAGUCAGGGGUGAAAUCCCGGAGCUCAACUCCGGAACUGCCUUUGAUACUGAAAAGCUUGAGUUCGGGAGAGGUGAGUGGAACUGCGAGUGUAGAGGUGAAAUUCGUAGAUAUUCGCAAGAACACCAGUGGCGAAGGCGGCUCACUGGCCCGAUACUGACGCUGAGGUGCGAAAGCGUGGGGAGCAAACAGG
RNAcentral lists this ribosomal RNA (253 nucleotides) under uncultured bacterium. RNAcentral describes it as "partial 16S ribosomal RNA". It matches the Rfam family "Bacterial small subunit ribosomal RNA", at positions 524 to 776 of the family's 1533-position model. The record is from RNAcentral.